UUUCCGCAGGUGAUGAUGCAUAUAAAGUGCUCUCUGAGUCGGAUCUCUCUGCCUCCUGUGUUCAGACAGACAGUCUUUGGGGAGUUAUACUCAUAAUUCACAGUGCUCUCCCGACCCGCUGAAAGUAAUGGAUCGUAUAUCAUUCAGUUAUCUUCCUGUGCAUGUGGAGCUUCAGAGGCCCCAAGAGUGAAGACCAGGGAAGACCAGUGGAGAAGCAAGAACAGUGAAGUGUUCAAUGGCCAUAGAAGACCAGUGAAGACUACCAAAGACAAGUGAAGACCAGCAAAGACCAGAUGAGACCAGAUAAGACCAGCAAAGACCAGUGAAGAAUAAUGAAGUAUUGCACAGCGUCAAUGCAACAGAGACCUCCCUUCGUUUAAGGGAUUCCAUUUAUUCUCUUUCCAAACAUCACACAUUUCUCAAGUGUCCGCCCAAGUGUAACAUUGCAUGCCAUCUUACAUGUCUGCUUCACCAAAAAAUCCUCUCACAAGACAGAUUCCAUAAAAACAUCAGUGAAACUAAUAAACUUCCAAUGAAGCUGGAAAUUUCCACUGUA
Rattus norvegicus (Norway rat) is the source of this 556-nucleotide non-coding RNA. The record is from RefSeq and is a predicted model, not a curated record. Lineage: Eukaryota; Metazoa; Chordata; Mammalia; Rodentia; Muridae.